Molecule: ribosomal RNA, 443 nt
Filed under: Streptococcus mitis
Lineage: Bacteria; Bacillati; Bacillota; Bacilli; Lactobacillales; Streptococcaceae
Description: bacterial SSU rRNA
Rfam family: Bacterial small subunit ribosomal RNA
Source: RNAcentral
GACGAACGCUGGCGGCGUGCCUAAUACAUGCAAGUAGAACGCUGAAGGAGGAGCUUGCUUCUCUGGAUGAGUUGCGAACGGGUGAGUAACGCGUAGGUAACCUGCCUGGUAGCGGGGGAUAACUAUUGGAAACGAUAGCUAAUACCGCAUAAGAGUAGAUGUUGCAUGACAUUUGCUUAAAAGGUGCAAUUGCAUCACUACCAGAUGGACCUGCGUUGUAUUAGCUAGUUGGUGGGGUAACGGCUCACCAAGGCGACGAUACAUAGCCGACCUGAGAGGGUGAUCGGCCACACUGGGACUGAGACACGGCCCAGACUCCUACGGGAGGCAGCAGUAGGGAACCUUCGGCAAUGGACGGAAGUCUGACCGAGCAACGCCGCGUGAGUGAAGAAGGUUUUCGGAUCGUAAAGCUCUGUUGUAAGAGAAGAAACGAGUGUGAGAAG